CGCGCAGGCGGUCGGAUAAGUCGAAUGUGAAAGCCCCCGGCUCAACUGGGGAGGGUCAUUCGAUACUGUUCGACUCGAAGGCAGGAGAGGGAAGCGGAAUUCCCGGUGUAGUGGUGAAAUGCGUAGAUAUCGGGAGGAACACCAGUGGCGAAGGCGGCUUUCUGGCCUGUUCUUGACGCUGAGGCGCGAAAGCUAGGGGAGCAAACG
Molecule: ribosomal RNA, 207 nt
Filed under: uncultured bacterium
Lineage: Bacteria
Description: partial 16S ribosomal RNA
Rfam family: Bacterial small subunit ribosomal RNA
Source: RNAcentral